AUGGCGGAAGCUGCCACAUUUCAGAUGCCUUGUGCCUUAAGACGGUUAUUUGCAACUAUACUGGUAUUCUGCGAGGCAACAGAAAUCCGACAGAUGUGGGACAAACAUCUGGCAGCAAUGUCCGAGGACUACGGUUGUAAUCAAUCCAAUGAGGCAAUACUUGAGCAUAUCAGGGAUAUGUUGCAAUCCAUGGGAAAGGAAAUUACAAACUAUGGACUUCCGGAAUUGGUUGAGACCGAUGGUUCUUAUGACGGUGAGUACAGAGAGGUAACAGAGGAGAGGCAAAUCAGCAUGGACAAAGAACAUCUAGAUUUAUUUACCAGUUUGAACACUGAGCAGCUGGCUGGUUUCAAUGACAUAAUGGAUCAUGUGGUGAACCAAAAAAGAUAG
Molecule: ribosomal RNA, 390 nt
Filed under: Triticum aestivum (bread wheat)
Lineage: Eukaryota; Viridiplantae; Streptophyta; Magnoliopsida; Poales; Poaceae
Description: partial small subunit ribosomal RNA
Source: RNAcentral